This is a non-coding RNA of Arabidopsis thaliana (thale cress), 197 nucleotides long. Lineage: Eukaryota; Viridiplantae; Streptophyta; Magnoliopsida; Brassicales; Brassicaceae. The record is from RefSeq.
UAGAUGACAGAAGAGAGAGAGCAGACAGCUUCUCUAUCUAAUCUGUGGUCGCUUGAAUGAUGAGUUUGGCAUAGGAAGUGUCAUCUCUACCCUUGAUCUUUCUUGAUUCUGCAUCACCACCUGACCAUUGAUUCCUCUCCGACCUGAUCCUUCUCCAUAAGUACUCUCACCAGAGCUCUUCCUUCUUCGCUCAUUGU